GACGAACGCUGGCGGCGUGCCUAACACAUGCAAGUCGAACGAGGCAACCGUAACAGGACGCUUAGGGGCGCGUAUAGAGUGGGAUAGUGGCGUACGGGUGAGUAACACGCGAGUAAAGGGGCGCUAACAUUGGGAUAGGCCUGCGAAACCGGGAUUAAUAGCAAAUAAAAUCAUAAGCACACAUGUAAUAACGAUGAAAAGUAUGAUGCUUUAAGAUGGACUCGCGUUAGAUUAGCUAGUUGGUAGAGUAAAAGCCUACCAAGGCGACGAUGGAUAGCUGGCCUGAGAGGGUGAUCGGCCACACUGGAACUGAGACACGGUCCAGACUCCUACGGGAGGUAGCAGUGGGGAAUAUUGGACAAUGGGCGGAAGUCUGAUCCAGCGAUGCCGCGUGAGUGAUGAAGGCUUUAGAGUUGUAAAGUUCUUUUACCCGGGAUGAUAAUGACAGUACCAUGAGAAUAAGCUCCGGCUAACUCCGUG
RNAcentral lists this ribosomal RNA (480 nucleotides) under uncultured bacterium. RNAcentral describes it as "partial 16S ribosomal RNA". It matches the Rfam family "Bacterial small subunit ribosomal RNA", at positions 28 to 507 of the family's 1533-position model. The record is from RNAcentral.